AUUGAACGCUGGCGGCAUGCCUUACACAUGCAAGUCGAACGGCAGCACGGGAGCAAUCCUGGUGGCGAGUGGCGAACGGGUGAGUAAAGUAUCGGAACGUGCCCAGUCGUGGGGGAUAACGUAGGGAAAGUUACGCUAAUACCGAAAACGAUCAAGGGAUGAAAGCGGGGGAUCGAAAGACCUCGCGCGAUUGGAGCGGCCGAUAUCGGAUUAGGUGGUUGGUGGGGUAAAGGCUCACCAAGCCGACGAUCUGUAGCUGGUCUGAGAGGACGACCAGCCACACUGGGACUGAGACACGGCCCAGACUCCUACGGGAGGCAGCAGUGGGGAAUUUUGGACAAUGGGCGAAAGCCUGAUCCAGCCAUGCCGCGUGCAGGAUGAAGGCCUUCGGGUUGUAAACUGCUUUUGUACGGAACGAAAAGGUUUGGCCUAAUAAGCUGAGCUCAUGACGGUACCGUAAGAAUAAGCACCGGCUAACUACGUGCCAGCCGCCGCCGUAA
RNAcentral lists this ribosomal RNA (500 nucleotides) under uncultured bacterium. RNAcentral's name for it is "partial 16S ribosomal RNA". It matches the Rfam family "Bacterial small subunit ribosomal RNA", at positions 29 to 523 of the family's 1533-position model. The record is from RNAcentral.